This 449-nucleotide ribosomal RNA is filed under the name uncultured bacterium. RNAcentral describes it as "partial 16S ribosomal RNA". It matches the Rfam family "Bacterial small subunit ribosomal RNA", at positions 29 to 523 of the family's 1533-position model. The record is from RNAcentral.
AACGAACGCUGGCGGCAGGCCUAACACAUGCAAGUCGAACGCCCUAGCAAUAGGGAGUGGCAGACGGGUGAGUAACACGUGGGAACCUUCCCUAUACUACGGAAUAGCCCAGGGAAACUUGGAGUAAUACCGUAUACGCCCGAGAGGGGAAAGAUUUAUCGGUAUAGGAUGGGCCCGCGUCGGAUUAGCUAGUUGGUGAGGUAAUGGCUCACCAAGGCGACGAUCCGUAGCUGGUUUGAGAGAACGACCAGCCACACUGGGACUGAGACACGGCCCAGACUCCGACGGGAGGCAGCAGUGGGGAAUAUUGGACAAUGGGCGAAAGCCUGGUCCAGCCAUGCCGCGUGAGUGAUGAAGGCCUUAGGGUUGUAAAGCUCUUUUGCCGGGGACGAUAAUGACGGUACCCGGAGAAUAAGUCCCGGCUAACUUCGUGCCAGCCGCCGCCGUAA